Molecule: transfer RNA, 77 nt
Filed under: Filimonas zeae
Lineage: Bacteria; Pseudomonadati; Bacteroidota; Chitinophagia; Chitinophagales; Chitinophagaceae
Description: tRNA-His
Rfam family: tRNA
About the family: Transfer RNA (tRNA) molecules are approximately 80 nucleotides in length. Their secondary structure includes four short double-helical elements and three loops (D, anti-codon, and T loops).
Source: RNAcentral
GAGGGUAUAGCUCAGUUGGUUAGAGCGUCAGUUUGUGGCACUGAAGGCCGUGGGUUCGAGCCCCAUUAUCCUCCCCA